GAUAACCGCUGGAUUUCUUAACUCCGGACCAGGGCCUCGACUAUAGCCAAAAGCCCAUCAAGCAGAGGCCCACACACGCGAGACAAGCCUGACCCGUAUGCCUUCAAAGGCCGGGCUCACCCAUCUCCUCCAUUCAGGCCGGCCCGACCCGCGCCAAGCAAGCCCUCUCCUCUUGGGCUCAGCAUCUGGCCCGACUCUCAGCCCAGCCCAGUGUCCAGACCCAACUCAGACAGCCUGGCAGAUCCGCACGGAUGUACGCAUGGAGAGAAUCAGAGGCCGUUACGCAUGGAGCAGGCGGCUGAUACCCUCGUACACCCAAAUCUGCAUGCCAGAGCCGCGUGUCCCAAUCACGGAGAGGCCUUUACACUUCACCAUGAGCAAAGCAAAAAGGAUAAAAGGGGAGCACCCUCCCCAGACAAAGCAAGUUUUGGAGGGAAGUCUAAGAAAGCUGUAUUAACCAUCAUUCUAUAAUACAAAACCCUUGUAAAACCCUACUCUAUUGGAUCUCAAAUUAUCA
RNAcentral lists this long non-coding RNA (517 nucleotides) under Manihot esculenta (cassava). Its description in RNAcentral is "long non-coding RNA (MESC_LNC001799)". Lineage: Eukaryota; Viridiplantae; Streptophyta; Magnoliopsida; Malpighiales; Euphorbiaceae. The record is from RNAcentral.